Molecule: long non-coding RNA, 2805 nt
Filed under: Marmota monax (woodchuck)
Lineage: Eukaryota; Metazoa; Chordata; Mammalia; Rodentia; Sciuridae
Source: RNAcentral
AUCUGGCCAAAGCAGGCUUAGAACGCCAUGCUGUGCUCCUGCGUGCCUGAGCUCAAUGCCUUGGAAGAUCAUGGAGAGAUUUCUACAGGUCCUACCUUCUAGUUUUGCCUGGAAGAUAGAGUGGCUGCAACAGAGGCCACCAGGGUUUCUGAACAUUCACUCCUGUGAGCCAUGUGGGGUGUGGUGGAGUGGAGGCCCACGGAAAUAAGAAGGGGAGAAGAAGCGGUAAGAAUGGGGUUUCCCGGGCUGGGGUUGUGGCUCAGUGGUAGAGGGCUUGCCUAGCAUGUGUGAGGCCCUGGGUUGGAUUCUCAGCACUGCAUAUAAAUAAAUGAAUAAAAUAAAGGUCCAUCAACAUCUUAAAAAUUAAACCAAAAAGAAUGGGGUUUCUUACUGGAGCGGGCUGCCCUGGUGGGGAGAGUGAGGGGCCACCAUGGUCUCACCUUGGCUGAAUUUUGGAAUCCUUGGGGAAGCUUUAAUGUAUACCAACGUAGUGCCUGCACUCUACACCACAAAUGUUGGUUUGUGUGCAUCUUGUGCACAAAGAUCAAAAACUCCAGGUGAUGAGGGUUCGUGGCCAGAUUCAGAACACUGGGGCAUAGGGUCUCUGUAUGGUGGACCUUGAACAGAGAAGGUGGAGCAUCAGGGUGAGGGCAUGGUCCCACCACCAACCCAGCUCCUCUCCACUGGGCAGCAGACCCUGUGAGCUUAGAGACUGGCACUGGCAGAGGGGGCUGUAGGAUGGGCUUCCGGGAGCUCAUGCUUUUGCUUUGGAACUGACAGGUCCCAGCAUAUCAGUAUCUUCAGCUCACUCCCUACUCUGCACACAAUACAGGGUGCAGGGGGUUCCCUGGGACGGGGCAUAUACAUCCAACAGGCCUUAGUGAGGUGCUGUCUGUGCUUCGUGGAUUACCUUUGGCCUUGCCUAGGGUUAGCGGUUACUCUGGGUGUCUGGUUUUGCUAGGCUCCCCAGGUACCUCUUGGUGAGGAGGAUUAGAUCGCAGGGAGCAGGCAGGGACCCCGUGAUUGUGUCUGCUGGGAUGAAUGGCGAGCUGAUGAACCUGCUGUGGGUGUCCCGUGCAACUUAGUUUAGUGGUCAACUUCAGCACCUGUUGAGAGGACGAGCACAGGGAACCUAAGGCAGCUUGAAGUAAGUAAAGGGUUGGGCAAUUUUUCACCCUAUUUUAGUAUUUUCUGGUAAGUCCCCCUCUCCUUCCCUUCUUUAGCCUGCUUGUUUUCUUCCUGUAAGAGAGGAAGAUGUUUUUUAAUGUGCUGUGGAGUCCAUUUGAAUGUGAGCUGUUGAUGGAGGGGUUUGUCUUCAGUGUGUAUUUGUUGGGGGGGAUGAGUAAACAGUGGUGUGUAGCCGUGGGUUGUGGGGGCCACAGGGGAAAGAGAAUCAUUUAAGAUUUAUUCUGUGAUGGGUCCUAGGAGGAACUGCAGGCCUUACUGGGGUCAGGGAAUGCAGAGGGCUCCGGCUUGUGUUUGGUUUUCCUCCCCCAUUGGAGCAGGUGUCUUCUUUCACAAUUAGAAUGCUUUUCUUUUUUCUUUUUUUUUUGCCCUACCUUGUCAUGGGAGAUGACACUUCUGCAGACUUUAGUCUUUUAUGUGUUCUAAACCGAGCCCUUUCCCCUGCUGUGGCUUCAAUAAUGCAUCAUUUCAUAAGUUCAUGGAAUUUAAUGUGCCUCUGCUCAGCCUCCAGUCUCGGCUAGGUAGUUAAAUGAAAAUUAACCACUGUAGGUUGGGCUCAAAGUCACCUCUUCGCCUUCUCCUUUUGGAUCCCCUCCCCUCUCUGCUGCCCCGUGUGUGCAAAACAACGUCCCUUUUUCUUUCCUUGGUGUGGCGUGUGCAGGACGCUCCCCUGGGUGAGUGGGAAUAUUGAUUUAUUUCAUAAUCCGAGAUCCAUGAAAAAAAUAACAGUGUGAACGUACAAGUUUUUGAACUGCCGCCUCUCCAGCUGAAGUACAGUGGAGUCUAGGGACCUGUAGCAAACUAAUAUUUAACGAGAGUGCUACUGUUGUGCCGCAUUUUGGAUUCGCGGUGGCUGCCGGUGAAAUUGGCAUGUGUCCUGACAGGGCUCUGAAGUGGGCUCCAUCUUCAUUCCCUUCAUUCACUUGUUCACUUAUUCAGUGCCUAAUGAUCAUUUUAUAUGUAUGAGGCACCCGGGUGGUGGAUGUGAUAGGCUAUUUGCAUUAAUGGCUUCCAUUCUUCACAGUUUUCUGAACUCCUGCCCGCUCUCCUUGACUUGGCUUUGGACUCGACCACGUGACUUGCUUUGACCUGUAGGAUGAAGUGGAGGUGAUGGGGUGGGAGUUUGGAGCCUGUACCAGACAAGAUCUGAAGCAUUUCUGGUUUUUUUUUUUUUUUUUUUAUGUAUCUUUGCAUUUGCCACAAAAAGAAAGCAUGCCCUGGAUGCUUGGAAAACAGCCUCCAGUCAACCUGAGAGCCUUCAGUGAGAAACCAAGCCUCCUGGAGAUCCCCCGAGUCCCAGCCAACUUGCAGAUGCUGAGCAGAAAGAAAUGAUUGUUGCCUUAAGACUCUGGUUCCUCAGGCAGCAUUGUUAUGCAACCGAUGACGGACACAAUGGAUAUUGAUAGGAUUCCGUCAUGGGUCCCCUUGGAGAGAAGUCUUAGAGUUGGGUGAUGUUGGUUGGCGGGUCAGGACGAGAUCAUGAAGGGCCAAACAAGAUACAGUUCCAAGUGGCCUGUGAGAGGACUCAGUCAAGAGAGUCUGCAGGAAGAUUGAUCCGAGACCUCAUGGGGGGGUGGCCUUUGAGACGGUGUUAUUGAAGUCCUGAAUAGGGGAAUGUUG